This 1180-nucleotide long non-coding RNA is filed under the name Marmota monax (woodchuck). Lineage: Eukaryota; Metazoa; Chordata; Mammalia; Rodentia; Sciuridae. The record is from RNAcentral.
GAGUGGUUGUAGCGCGGGCGGAGGCCGGGCCUGGCUGCAGGACGAGGGCGGGGGGCGAGUGAGCGCCCAGGCGGCGCGGCCGGGCUGGCGUCUCAGCCGCGGCGGCAGGGACGGCUAGACGGCCGGGCGGGGUAGGGGGCUGUCCUGAGGCGGCGGGCGGAGGCGCCGCCGGCUCCCGAGCGGCGGCGACGGGCGCCCCUUUCGGCCCGGGGAGGGUCGUCGGGGCCGCUGGAGCAGGGCGGGCUGCGGAGCCGGGUCGGGCCCUGCUCUCCGGCCCGCCCUCGGCGGCAGGGCCUCUGGGCCGCGCGCCCGGCCCGAGGGCUGCGGUUCCGGCCGCCAUGUGUGGACCUUAAAGCGUCUGUGGAAGCGCUUUGACAUCUGUGAAGGGCUUUGUGUAGCAAACUAAAUUGAAGCGCUUAGCAGUCCCGGAAGCGCUUUGAGGUCUGCGAAGUAGCGCGGUGCAAACAGAAGCGCUUGGUGAUUACGGAAGCACUUUGUGGGUUUAGGAGCCAAACCGAAGCCUUUAGUCAAUCUCUAAUCGUUGGGACUUCUCCGAAGCGCUUUGGCAUCUCUGAAACCUUGAGAACUGUGAUGGGCAGUGGAACGAAGAGGGAAAGGUCAGUGAGGCCAGCCCGUGGCCUUGACCUUCUUUCUUUCUGGCUUUCCUUACCCAGGGGGUCGGGUGGCGGGAGGGCUGGUGUUGGAAUCCAGGCUCCCUUUUGCCUUGCAGGUGCCCAUGGCGUCGGAGCGGCGCAAGGUCAAGUACCACUGGAGCAGCACUUCGGAAGGCUGUCCCAGCAAGCGCAGCUGCCUCCGGGAGCCCAGUGAUGUGGCCCCCUCCAGCCGGUCAGCUCACAGCUCUGCGUCGCGUUCACGAGGGGGCAGCAGCUCCAAGCGCCUGAAAGCACACAAGGAGGACGAUGUGGCCUGCUCGCCGAGGUUAUCCAGGAGCUCAACUCGACGCAGAAAUUCCUCCUCCUCCUCCUCUUCCCAUUCCUCGGGCCCAGGUGUGGGCGGGGCCGCCUCCAAAGGCUGCCUGAUUCGGAGCGCUCGCGCGUUCCUUUCGUCGAAGGGAACCUCUAUGCGUCCUGCCAACCCCUCUCUAGAAGAAAUGGCUUCUCUAGAGGAGGAAGCCUGCAGCCUUAAGGUAGGUAGUUGCCACGCCGUGCAGUCGGCGAAG